This 477-nucleotide ribosomal RNA is filed under the name Veillonella parvula. RNAcentral describes it as "bacterial SSU rRNA". It matches the Rfam family "Bacterial small subunit ribosomal RNA", at positions 28 to 474 of the family's 1533-position model. Lineage: Bacteria; Bacillati; Bacillota; Negativicutes; Veillonellales; Veillonellaceae. The record is from RNAcentral.
GACGAACGCUGGCGGCGUGCUUAACACAUGCAAGUCGAACGAAGAGCGAUGGAAGCUUGCUUCUAUCAAUCUUAGUGGCGAACGGGUGAGUAACGCGUAAUCAACCUGCCCUUCAGAGGGGGACAACAGUUGGAAACGACUGCUAAUACCGCAUACGAUCUAAUCUCGGCAUCGAGGAUAGAUGAAAGGUGGCCUCUACAUGUAAGCUAUCACUGAAGGAGGGGAUUGCGUCUGAUUAGCUAGUUGGAGGGGUAACGGCCCACCAAGGCGAUGAUCAGUAGCCGGUCUGAGAGGAUGAACGGCCACAUUGGGACUGAGACACGGCCCAGACUCCUACGGGAGGCAGCAGUGGGGAAUCUUCCGCAAUGGACGAAAGUCUGACGGAGCAACGCCGCGCGAGUGAUGACGGCCUUCGGGUUGUAAAGCUCUGUUAAUCGGGACGAAAGGCCUUCUUGCGAAUAGUGAGAAGGAUUGACG